AGCAGCCGCGGUAAUUCCAGCUCCAAUAGCGUAUAUUAAAGUUGUUGCAGUUAAAAAGCUCGUAGUUGAAUUUCGGGGUUAGUAGGUUGGUCAUGCCUCUGGUAUGUACUGGUCUCACUGAUUCCUCCUUCCUGAUGAAUCUUAAUGCCAUUAAUUUGGUGUUUUGGGGAAUUUGGACUGUUACUUUGAAAAAAUUAGAGUGUUUAAAGCAAGCUAACGCUUGAAUACAUUAGCAUGGAAUAAUGAAAUAGGACGUUCGAUCCUAUUUUGUUGGUUUCUAGGAUUGACGUAAUGAUUAAUAGGGAUAGUUGGGGGCAUUAGUAUUCAAUUGUCAGAGGUGAAAUUCUUGGAUUUAUUGAAGACUAACUACUGCGAAAGCAUUUGCCAAGGAUGUUUUCAUUAAUCAAGAACGAAAGUUAGGGGAUCGAAGACGAUCAGAUACCGUCGUAGUCUUAACCAUAAACUAUGCCGACUAGGGAUCGGAUGAUGUUAAUUUUUUAAUGACUCA
Molecule: ribosomal RNA, 508 nt
Filed under: uncultured Glomus
Lineage: Eukaryota; Fungi; Glomeromycota; Glomeromycetes; Glomerales; Glomeraceae
Also listed under: 1 other name
Description: SSU rRNA
Rfam family: Eukaryotic small subunit ribosomal RNA
Source: RNAcentral